UAAUACGGAGGGUGCAAGCGUUGUUCGGAAUUACUGGGCGUAAAGCGUGCGUAGGCGGCCGGAUAAGUCGAAUGUGAAAGCCCGGGGCUCAACCCCGGAACUGCAUCCGAUACUGUUCGGCUUGAGUAUGGGAGAGGGAAGCGGAAUUCCUGGUGUAGCGGUGAAAUGCGUAGAUAUCAGGAGGAACACCCGUGGCGAAAGCGGCUUCCUGGCCCAUUACUGACGCUGAGGCACGAGAGCGUGGGGAGCAAACAGGAUUAGAUACCCUGGUAGUCCACGCCGUAAACGAUGAGUGCUAGGUGUUGGAGGUGUUGACCCCUUCAGUGCCGCCGCUAACGCAUUAAGCACUCCGCCUGGGGAGUACGGUCGCAAGACUA
This 377-nucleotide ribosomal RNA is filed under the name uncultured Syntrophobacteraceae bacterium. Its description in RNAcentral is "bacterial SSU rRNA". It matches the Rfam family "Bacterial small subunit ribosomal RNA", at positions 521 to 896 of the family's 1533-position model. The record is from RNAcentral. Lineage: Bacteria; Pseudomonadati; Thermodesulfobacteriota; Syntrophobacteria; Syntrophobacterales; Syntrophobacteraceae.